UAACAAGGUCUCCGUUGGUGAACCAGCGGAGGGAUCAUUAUCGAGUUACCGCUCCUUAUAACCCUUUGUGAACAUACCUCAAACGUUGCCUCGGCGGGCAGCCGGAGCCCAGCUCCGGCGCCCGGAGCCGCCUUCUCGGCGCGCCCCACCCGCCGGCGGACCACUAAACUCUAUUGCAACGACGUCUCUUCUGAGUGGUACAAGCAAAUAAUCAAAACUUUUAACAACGGAUCUCUUGGUUCUGGCAUCGAUGAAGAACGCAGCGAAAUGCGAUAAGUAAUGUGAAUUGCAGAAUUCAGUGAAUCAUCGAAUCUUUGAACGCACAUUGCGCCCGCCAGCAUUCUGGCGGGCAUGCCUGUUCGAGCGUCAUUUCAACCCUCAAGCACCGCUUGGCGUUGGGGCCCUACGGCUUCCGUAGGCCCCGAAAUACAGUGGCGGACCCUCCCGGAGCCUCCUUUGCGUAGUAACAUACCACCUCGCACUGGGAUCCGGAGGGACUCCUGCCGUAAAACCCCCCAAUUUAUCAAGGUUGACCUCGGAUCAGGUAGGAAUACCCGCUGAACUUAAGCAUAUCAAUA
RNAcentral lists this ribosomal RNA (578 nucleotides) under Colletotrichum brevisporum. Its description in RNAcentral is "eukaryotic LSU rRNA". The stretch from base 216 to 369 matches the Rfam family "5.8S ribosomal RNA". Lineage: Eukaryota; Fungi; Ascomycota; Sordariomycetes; Glomerellales; Glomerellaceae. The record is from RNAcentral.